RNAcentral lists this ribosomal RNA (497 nucleotides) under uncultured bacterium. RNAcentral's name for it is "partial 16S ribosomal RNA". It matches the Rfam family "Bacterial small subunit ribosomal RNA", at positions 28 to 507 of the family's 1533-position model. The record is from RNAcentral.
GAUGAACGCUGGCGGCGUGCCUAAUACAUGCAAGUCGAGCGAACGGACGAGAAGCUUGCUUUUCUGAUGUUAGCGGCGGGCGGGUGAGUAACACGUGGAUAACCUACCUAUAAGACUGGGAUAACUUCGGGAAACCGGAUCUAAUACCGGAUAAUAUUUUGAACCGCAUGGUUCAAAAGUGAAAGGCGGUCUUGCUGUCACUUAUAGAUGGAUCCGCGCUGCAUUAGCUAGUUGGUAAGGUAACGGCUUACCAAGGCAACGAUGCAUAGCCGACCUGAGAGGGUGAUCGGCCACACUGGAACUGAGACACGGUCCAGACUCCUACGGGAGGCAGCAGUAGGGAAUCUUACGCAAUGGGCGAAAGCCUGACGGAGCAACGCCGCGUGAGUGAUGAAGGUCUUCGGAUCGUAAAACUCUGUUAUUAGGGAAGAACAUAUGUGUAAGUAACUGUGCACAUAUUGACGGUACCUAAUGAGAAAGCCACGGCUAACUACGUG